This 301-nucleotide ribosomal RNA is filed under the name uncultured bacterium. RNAcentral's name for it is "partial 16S ribosomal RNA". It matches the Rfam family "Bacterial small subunit ribosomal RNA", at positions 509 to 807 of the family's 1533-position model. The record is from RNAcentral.
CAGUAGCCGCGGUAAAACGAGGGGAGCUAGCGUUGUUCGGAAUUACUGGGCGUAAAGCGCGCGUAGGCGGCUUUUUAAGUCAGAGGUGAAAGCCCGGGGCUCAACCUGGGAAUUGCAGUGGAUACUGGAUCACUAGAGUGUGGUAGAGGAUAGUGGAAUUUCCGGUGUAGCAGUGAAAUGCGUAGAGAUCGGAAGGAACAUCUGUGGCGAAGGCGACUAUCUGGGCCAACACUGACACUGAGGCACGAAAGCGUGGGGAGCAAACAGGAUUAGAGACCCCCGUAGUCCCUGUCUCUUAUAC